AUGGACGCAAGUCUGAUGGAGCAACGCCGCGUGAGUGAAGAAGGCUUUCGGGUCGUAAAACUCUGUUGUUGGAGAAGAAUGGUCGGCAGAGUAACUGUUGUCGGCGUGACGGUAUCCAACCAGAAAGCCACGGCUAACUACGUGCCAGCAGCCGCGGUAAUACGUAGGUGGCAAGCGUUAUCCGGAUUUAUUGGGCGUAAAGCGAGCGCAGGCGGUUUUUUAAGUCUGAUGUGAAAGCCCUCGGCUUAACCGAGGAAGUGCAUCGGAAACUGGGAAACUUGAGUGCAGAAGGGGACAGUGGAACUCCAUGUGUAGCGGUGAAAUGCGUAGAUAUAUGGAAGAACACCAGUGGCGAAGGCGGCUGUCUGGUCUGUAACUGACGCUGAGGCUCGAAAGCAUGGGUAGCGAACAGGAUUAGAUACCCUGGUAGUCCAUGCCGUAAACGAUGAAUGCUAGGUGUUGGAGGGUUUCCGCCCUUCAGUGCCGCAGCUAACGCAUUAAGCAUUCCGCCUGGGGAGUACGACCGCAAGGUUGAAACUCAAAGGAAUUGACGGGGGCCCGCACAAGCGGUGGAGCAUGUGGUUUAAUUCGAAGCAACGCGAAGAACCUUACCAGGUCUUGACAUCUUUUGAUCACCUGAGAGAUCAGGUUUCC
RNAcentral lists this ribosomal RNA (654 nucleotides) under Lacticaseibacillus rhamnosus. RNAcentral describes it as "bacterial SSU rRNA". It matches the Rfam family "Bacterial small subunit ribosomal RNA", at positions 371 to 1016 of the family's 1533-position model. Lineage: Bacteria; Bacillati; Bacillota; Bacilli; Lactobacillales; Lactobacillaceae. The record is from RNAcentral.